GUGGGGAAUCUUGCGCAAUGGGCGAAAGCCUGACGCAGCAACGCCGCGUGCGGGAUGAAGGCCCUCGGGUUGUAAACCGCUUUCAGCAGGGACGAAGAUGACGGUACCUGCAGAAGAAGCCCCGGCCAACUACGUGCCAGCAGCCGCGGUAACACGUAGGGGGCGAGCGUUGUCCGGAUUUAUUGGGCGUAAAGAGCUCGUAGGCGGUUCCGUCAGUCGGGUGUGAAAACUCUGGGCUCAACCCAGAGACGCCACCCGAUACUGCGGUGACUAGAGUCCGGUAGGGGAGUGCGGAAUUCCUGGUGUAGCGGUGAAAUGCGCAGAUAUCAGGAGGAACACCAACGGCGAAGGCAGCACUCUGGGCCGGCACUGACGCUGAGGAGCGAAAGCGUGGGGAGCGAACAGGAUUAGAAACCCCUGUAGUCC
RNAcentral lists this ribosomal RNA (426 nucleotides) under uncultured bacterium. RNAcentral's name for it is "bacterial SSU rRNA". It matches the Rfam family "Bacterial small subunit ribosomal RNA", at positions 354 to 796 of the family's 1533-position model. The record is from RNAcentral.